GCUUUGUCCCGGACUGAGGCAGAAAACGGGAUCCCGACCCGCCCUUGUUGAAGGAGCAACGAAGGCAGCGGUGGCCUGUCCUCGCAUCGUUGUUUAGGUAGGGCGAGGUUCUCCUUUGAACGCGCAGUGAGACGAAGGUACGCAUGUUUUAGGUGGCUUUCUUUCUUUUGUAGGUUCUUUGGGGUGGUUCGACUUCCGACUUCACGACUUGGUACCUCUCGUGCGCCCGCCGGUGGCGGUCGAGCCCGCAGCCAGUACCUCCGUCGCUGCUCCCACGCCGGCAGGAGGACGACGGCAAGGGCCCCGCGUCCCGGUGUGCUUGGGCUACGACCUCGACCCGGCGGCGGGCCGCGCGUGCCGGAGGCGGGGUGCAAGCAGAGGUGGGCGGUGCACGAGAGGAGGUGGGGCGGGGGGCCGCGCGGGAAGGCGCACCGGCGGUAGAGGCUGCCUAAGCUGCGGCCGCCGAAGCGGAGCACGGGCCUGGGGCGGCUCAUGAAGAGGGCCGACCUCCGGCACCCCGGGCUCUGCGACGCGCUCGAGGACGACAGCCUCCUCCGGUGAAGCCACGCGUAAGAGUACAUGCUGAGCGUGGACGGCACCCGCCCCGCCCACCGCGCGGGCCGGCCGCACGGGCGGCGCCGCAAGAAGAGCGUCAGCACGCGCCACUUGCUGCAGAUGCCCCUCCACACCCGCCCCGCGACCGCGACGGCCACUGCCUGCCCGCACUCGACGACCACGCGCCUCGCGACCCGCACCUUGACCCUGGCCUCCUGCACGGCGGCAAGCGCAGCCGCGGCCUCAGCGACGGACAAAAGGAAUUCUGCAGCUAACUCGUCAAGCUGCCCGACCUCCUGCGGCUGCUGCACGAGCAGUUGAGUAAGUCGCUGUAGCUCGGUUGCCUUUCCUUAUAGUUUGCCUCAGGUUAACUGGACUUUGAAAUGCUGCUACUAAAAACCUGGUUUUCUUCGGGGACUUCGUUUUCUCAACCCGGUCUUCUCGGUGCUCCGGUGGUGUUCCCACCUCCCGCGCGGGAUGGGGGGCCCUCGCGGGAGACUGGAACACCCGGGGAGCACCUGAGGGGACUGAACAAGAGCUGCGGUUGUGGAGAAUAUAUAGGAUUUUGGAGGUCUUGUCUUGGAUCUACAUGGUGCUCGGCGGCGGCGUUCGGAGACAUCGGUGGUUUUUGGUUAACCCUGGGAUAAAGCCGUGGGACGGCCUCUCCCUUUAGUAGUGGCCACCGGUAGAAGUAGUAGGGCUGCGAGAGGUACUACUCCUCCCUCAUCAAGUGGGAGCCCCAACUCCCAUACAUAGUCAUUGAUACACAAACUAGAGAGAGAGAGAGCACAAGAACUAAACCGUGCUAGAACUACAUGGCGCUCGAAAAAAAUGAUGUCAACUUAGUAUACUACAAAAGGGGGAGAUGGAAGAACACUACUUAACUCGAAAUGCAAACUCCAAAGUGAUAAUAGCCUGACUUAUGAUAAUAGCUAAACUCUUGUGAACUACAUACAGAACGCACCCUACGGACACCACUGUUACCCCAUAAGACAACUAAGUGAACUACAUACAAAACCGUGAGUUUAGUGCCUAAGGGCUCCACUGUAACCCCAUAUUAGAUACGUAUCCCCAACUACGUGCAAAAGCAGGAACAAAGAGGUCAUCCUUAGAAC
This 1670-nucleotide ribosomal RNA is filed under the name Triticum aestivum (bread wheat). RNAcentral describes it as "partial small subunit ribosomal RNA". The record is from RNAcentral. Lineage: Eukaryota; Viridiplantae; Streptophyta; Magnoliopsida; Poales; Poaceae.